UAGGGAAUCUUCGGCAAUGGACGAAAGUCUGACCGAGCAACGCCGCGUGUGUGAAGAAGGUCUUCGGAUUGUAAAGCACUUUCGACGGGGACGAUGAUGACGGUACCCGUAGAAGAAGCCCCGGCUAACUUCGUGCCAG
This 139-nucleotide ribosomal RNA is filed under the name uncultured bacterium. Its description in RNAcentral is "partial 16S ribosomal RNA". It matches the Rfam family "Bacterial small subunit ribosomal RNA", at positions 355 to 511 of the family's 1533-position model. The record is from RNAcentral.